RNAcentral lists this ribosomal RNA (497 nucleotides) under uncultured bacterium. RNAcentral describes it as "partial 16S ribosomal RNA". It matches the Rfam family "Bacterial small subunit ribosomal RNA", at positions 28 to 507 of the family's 1533-position model. The record is from RNAcentral.
GAUGAACGCUGGCGGCGUGCUUAAUACAUGCAAGUCGAGCGAACGGACGAGAAGCUUGCUUUUCUGAUGUUAGCGGCGGACGGGAGUGUAACACGUGGAUCACCUACCUAUAUGACUGGGAUAACUUCGGGAAACCGGCGCUAAUCCCGGAUAAUCUUUUGCACCGCAUGGUUCAAUAGUGAAAGACGGUCUUGCUGUCACUUAUAGAUGGAUCCGCGCUGCAUUAGCUAGUUGGUAAGGUAAAGGCUUACCAAGGCAACGAUGCAUAGCCGACCUGAGAGAGUGAUCGGCCACACUGGAACUGAGACACGGUCCAGACUCCUACGGGAGGCAGCAGUAGGGAAUCUGCCGCAAUGGGCGAAAGCCUGACGGAGCAACGCCGCGUGAGUGAUGAAGGUCUUCGGAGCGUAAAACUCUGUUAUUAGGUAAGAACAGAUGUGUAAGGAACUGUGCACAUCGUGACGGUACCUAAUCAGAAAGCCACGGCUAACUACGUG